AGAUGGUGAUGAAGGUUGAAUGACGAAGGUUUUGGGGAAUCUAGUUAGAAUAUGAGGUCUUAGAUCUAUCGUAGGUUUGUAUGGUCGAUUUUGAGGUGUGGGCAAUAGAUAGGCUACACGAGACUUAGGAAAGUUAACAAUGGAGAGAAAAGAUGAAAAUAAGUGAGAUCAAACGAGAGGAAUGAGCGAGACCGAUUUUGAGGAGGAGGAAGAUGAAAGCUAAGUUCAAUCUAAUUUCUCAUUUAGAUAUGUUU
RNAcentral lists this long non-coding RNA (254 nucleotides) under Lathyrus oleraceus (garden pea). Its description in RNAcentral is "Pisum sativum (pea) long non-coding RNA (PSAT_LNC009526)". The record is from RNAcentral. Lineage: Eukaryota; Viridiplantae; Streptophyta; Magnoliopsida; Fabales; Fabaceae.